CUUCCUCCAGCAUGACACUUUUCUUUGUUUUUUCAUCAGCCUUUUGGAAAAAGGCCCAUAAUCCAUUUGUAAACAGCUUUUUACCAUACAACUACAGACUUAGUGGAUUACUGUAAGUACUAUAAUUGCCUAUAUCAUAUAAUGUGACUUUCCCUCUUUUGUUUCUAUUGUAUGCACUAUCAAAUAGAAUACGCAAUGUUACAAAAUACACCGAAGCGACAAACACAGUGGUUGGAUAAAGUCUGAGGAUGUGGAGUGGCCGGUCUCAACUCGGUCCUGGCUGGCAGCGGUACAGAUGCUGAGUGCCCCUCCCCUCCAGAAACAGCAGGGGAGUUUGCUGUCUGUCUUUCUGCCGGGGCGAACUGCCACAGAGUAACCAGCCAUCCAACACACACACACACACACACACCACACACACACACACACACACACACACACACACACACACACACACACAGAGUGCACCAAGAGUUCAGUGUGCGUUUACCUACAAUUAAGGGGAGUGGAAAUAUUUGGGGGGAAGUAUUCAGUUUAUCCAUCCACUGUUCUUUCGGUAGGAACGAGUUUCGCGUACUUUCUCCGCGCAUCAGGCAAUUAAAGGGGGACCGACGCUGCUGUCCGCAGGUUGGGCAUGUGUUGCAUGUGAGAGAAGACGGAGUGCGCAGGGUUUGCAGAAAAGGACAGAGUGAAAACGGAACAACACCACUCCACGCACCAUGAAGACAGAGGACUCUGUUAAUCAGAGUCUGAAUGCUGUUGGGGCUCUGCAGUGCAUGUCUGGCAGUAAUUAUGAUGGCAAAGGGAAGAGGAUUAAGGUGCUAUCCCAUCCAGGGGUCCUAUUAGUGGGACUGAUGUUGUUGGCCACACUCCCUUUUGGAGCAAGCAUCAAACAAAGUGUCCCCAGAGUCAAACUCAGUCAUAGAGGUAAGAACUGAAAUAUUGUUGUUUUUAUUGUUGUUACAUAUUUACAUUUACUUUUAUAAUUUCAUAUUAUUACAGUAUGUGUCUAAGGCAGUCUGAG
RNAcentral lists this long non-coding RNA (1021 nucleotides) under Dicentrarchus labrax (European seabass). RNAcentral describes it as "lncRNA (ENSDLAG00005030912.1)". Lineage: Eukaryota; Metazoa; Chordata; Actinopteri; Moronidae. The record is from RNAcentral.